Molecule: microRNA, 16 nt
Filed under: Chiloscyllium plagiosum (whitespotted bambooshark)
Lineage: Eukaryota; Metazoa; Chordata; Chondrichthyes; Orectolobiformes; Hemiscylliidae
Description: microRNA PC-5p-518881_1
Source: RNAcentral
UGUGUUCUCUGUUCUC